RNAcentral lists this transfer RNA (67 nucleotides) under Mesorhizobium sp. RNAcentral describes it as "tRNA-Arg". The record is from RNAcentral. Lineage: Bacteria; Pseudomonadati; Pseudomonadota; Alphaproteobacteria; Hyphomicrobiales; Phyllobacteriaceae.
GCGGCCUAGGUCCACCGUUGCCCUCCGAAGGCAGAGGUCACAAGUUCGAAUCUUGUCGGGUGCGCCA